AUUGAACGCUGGCGGCAGGCCUAACACAUGCAAGUCGAGCGGAUGAGGGGAGCUUGCUCCUGGAUUCAGCGGCGGACGGGUGAGUAAUGCCUAGGAAUCUGCCUGGUAGUGGGGGAUAACGUCCGGAAACGGGCGCUAAUACCGCAUACGUCCUGAGGGAGAAAGUGGGGGAUCUUCGGACCUCACGCUAUCAGAUGAGCCUAGGUCGGAUUAGCUAGUUGGUGGGGUAAAGGCCUACCAAGGCGACGAUCCGUAACUGGUCUGAGAGGAUGAUCAGUCACACUGGAACUGAGACAUGGUCCAGACUCCUACGGGAGGCAGCAGUGGGGAAUAUUGGACAAUGGGCGAAAGCCUGAUCCAGCCAUGCCGCGUGUGUGAAGAAGGUCUUCGGAUUGUAAAGCACUUUAAGUUGGGAGGAAGGGCAGUAAGUUAAUACCUUGCUGUUUUGACGUUACCAACAGAAUAAGCACCGGCUAACUUCGUG
Molecule: ribosomal RNA, 484 nt
Filed under: uncultured bacterium
Lineage: Bacteria
Description: partial 16S ribosomal RNA
Rfam family: Bacterial small subunit ribosomal RNA
Source: RNAcentral